GAUGAACGCUGGCGGCGUGCCUAACACAUGCAAGUCGAACGGAGUCCAGCCUUUAAGACCUUCGGGUCAAAGAGGGGAAGACUGAGUGGCGGACGGGUGAGUAACACGUGGGCAACCUGGCUCAUAGAGGGGGAUAACAGAGAGAAAUUUCUGCUAAUACCGCAUAAGCACACACUGCCGCAUGGAAGAGGGUGAAAAGAGAAUCGCUAUGAGAUGGACCCGCGUCUGAUUAGCCAGUUGGCAGGGUAAGAGCCUACCAAAGCGACGAUCAGUAGCCGAUCUGAGAGGAUGAACGGCCACAUUGGGACUGAGACACGGCCCAAACUCCUACGGGAGGCAGCAGUGGGGGAUAUUGCACAAUGGGGGGAACCCUGAUGCAGCGACGCCGCGUGAGUGAAGAAGUAUUUCGGUAUGUAAAGCUCUAUCAGCAGGGAAGAUAAUGACAGUACCUGAAUAAGAAGCCCCGGCUAACUACGUG
This 478-nucleotide ribosomal RNA is filed under the name uncultured bacterium. RNAcentral's name for it is "partial 16S ribosomal RNA". It matches the Rfam family "Bacterial small subunit ribosomal RNA", at positions 28 to 507 of the family's 1533-position model. The record is from RNAcentral.